This 300-nucleotide ribosomal RNA is filed under the name uncultured bacterium. RNAcentral describes it as "bacterial SSU rRNA". It matches the Rfam family "Bacterial small subunit ribosomal RNA", at positions 114 to 399 of the family's 1533-position model. The record is from RNAcentral.
CGCGUGGGAAUCUACCUAGUAGUGGGGACGAACAGUCGGAAACGAACUGCUAAUACCGCCAUACGCCCUACCGGGGGAAAGGACGGGGGAGGUCUUCGGUACCGUCCGUGCUAUUAGUAUGAGCCCGCCGUAAGAUUAGCUAGUUGGUGGGGUAAGUGGCCGUACCAAGGCGACGAUCUUUAGUCUGGUCUGAGAGGAUGAUCAGCCACAUUGGGACGUGAGACACGGCCCAAACCACCUACGGGAGGCAGCAGUGGGGAAGUAUUGCACAAUGGGCGCAAGCCUGAUGCAGCCAUGCCG